UGACCUGCCCGGUGAAUACAUUAAACGGCCGCGGUAUUUUGACCGUGCGAAGGUAGCAUAAUCAAUUGUCUUAUAAUUGAAGACUGGAAUGAAUGGUUGAACGAAAUUAAAACUGUUUCAUUUGUAUUAAUUAGAAAUUGGUUUUUAAAUGAAGAGAUUUAAAUUUAAUUAAUAGACAAGAAGACCCUAUUGAGCUUUAAAUAAUUUUAAAAUUAAAAAUUUAUUAUUAGAGAUUUAAAGUUUUAA
Molecule: ribosomal RNA, 246 nt
Filed under: Anularya mansuyi
Lineage: Eukaryota; Metazoa; Mollusca; Gastropoda; Architaenioglossa; Viviparidae
Description: partial 16S ribosomal RNA
Rfam family: Archaeal large subunit ribosomal RNA (bases 1-162)
Source: RNAcentral